This is a long non-coding RNA of Dromaius novaehollandiae (emu), 899 nucleotides long. RefSeq lists it as uncharacterized. The transcript has 3 exons. NCBI's taxonomy places the organism in Eukaryota, Metazoa, Chordata, Aves, Casuariiformes, Dromaiidae. The record is from RefSeq and is a predicted model, not a curated record.
AGCAAGGAGCUGAAAAGCCUUUCAGAAAGUUUUUUCAGAAGGUUUUCCUGUGGGAACCAAGAUGGAAUUUGAGCAAUGAGGUCUGUGUGAGAAGAGGAGCACAACGAGCCACACUUAGCAUUCAUGCCAUAUCAUCCUGCAGUGCAAACAGGAGAACAUCUGGAGCCAUUAACAGACACUGGGAGCCCAGCGUUUGCAUUACUUCAUAAUGCUGUGCCUUUUUCUUUAGUGACACUUCUGACUACUUUGGCACUUUAAGUUAGGCUGGUGAUCUGAGGUUCAAGGAGCAAUCCCUAGUAAUAGAGUUCCUACAGAGCAUCCACUCAUGCUUCCUGUAGUGCUGCAGACUUCCUACACCCGUGAGCUCUCUGUCUGGAGCAUGGAUUCUCUGUGUGCCUGGAUUUUUUACAUGCCUCUGAAAUUCACACUGGUAAAGUGUAUAUGUUUAUACCAGCGCAGACUUUGGCAUUGGUCCGUGAUCCCGGAGAAGCAGGGAGCCCGGCGCUGUGCUGCUGCCGGCCCCGGGCUGUAGCCAGCAGCACGGAGCAGCGGGAGCCUCCGGGCAGCGCAGCCGCCUCCGCGUGCCCCUGCACGGCGCUUGCGAGGACCCUACCGCUACCGCUCCUGCGCGGCACAGGGUCAGAGUCUCACCCCCCAGGCUUUUAUUUUACAGGCAGUGCUAUGUUCUGACACUUUUCCAUUAGCCUUGAAAGCUUGAAGGCACUGGGAUUUAGCUGUGAUACGCCUAAAUCUGUAUUUCAGUAAUUGCUUUCAGAAAUACCCACUGCAGCGUGGCCUGUUGUCAGAUGUUACUGUGUCUCGUAUGUCAUAUUUAGUUAAAAUGAAUGUGGUGCGCAAGGUAAUCUGUCUGGUUGCAGCAACUUCUAGAAAGGCUAUGC